CCUACGGGUGGCAGCAGUAAGGGAUAUUGGUCAAUGGGGGAAACCCUGAACCAGCGACGCCGCGUGAGGGAAGACGGUUUUCGGAUUGUAAACCUCUGUCCUCUGGGAAGAUGAUGACAGUAGCAGAGGAGGAAGCACCGGCUAACUACGUGCCAGCAGCCGCGGUAAUACGUCGGGAGCGAGCGUUGUCCGGAUUUACUGGGUGUAAAGGGUGCGUAGGCGGGUUGGCAAGUCAGGAGUGAAAACCAUGGGCUUAACCCAUGAACUGCUAUUGAAACUGUCGAGCUUGAGUGAGGUAGAGGUAGGCGGAAUGCGCGGUGUAGCGGUGAAAUGCGUAGAGAGCGGGAGGAACACCAGUGGCGAAGGCGGCCUGCUGGGCUUUAACUGACGCUGAGGCACGAAAGCGUGGGUAGCAAACAGGAUUAGAUACCCCUGUAGUC
This 440-nucleotide ribosomal RNA is filed under the name uncultured bacterium. Its description in RNAcentral is "partial 16S ribosomal RNA". It matches the Rfam family "Bacterial small subunit ribosomal RNA", at positions 338 to 795 of the family's 1533-position model. The record is from RNAcentral.